AUUAAACGCUGGCGGCAUGCCUUACACAUGCAAGUCGAACGGCAGCACGGGGGCAACCCUGGUGGCGAGUGGCGAACGGGUGAGUAAAGCAUCGGAACGUGCCCUGGAGUGGGGGAUAACGUAGCGAAAGUUACGCUAAUACCGCAUAUUCUGUGAGCAGGAAAGCAGGGGAUCGCAAGACCUUGCGCUCUGGGAGCGGCCGAUGUCGGAUUAGCUAGUUGGUGGGGUAAAGGCCUACCAAGGCGACGAUCCGUAGCGGGUCUGAGAGGAUGAUCCGCCACACUGGGACUGAGACACGGCCCAGACUCCUACGGGAGGCAGCAGUGGGGAAUUUUGGACAAUGGGCGAAAGCCUGAUCCAGCCAUGCCGCGUGGGUGAAGAAGGCCUCGG
Molecule: ribosomal RNA, 390 nt
Filed under: uncultured bacterium
Lineage: Bacteria
Description: bacterial SSU rRNA
Rfam family: Bacterial small subunit ribosomal RNA
Source: RNAcentral